GCGUGAGUGAUGAAGGCCCUAGGGUUGUAAAGCUCUUUCGUCGGGGAAGAUAAUGACGGUACCCGAAGAAGAAGCCUCGGCUAACUCCGUGCCAGCAGCCGCGGUAAGACGGAGGAGGCUAGCGUUGUUCGGAAUUACUGGGCGUAAAGCGUGCGCAGGUUGUAAGUUCAGUCUGAUGUGAAAGCCCGGGGCUCAACCUCGGAUGUGCAUUAGAUACUGGCUUGCUGGAGGUUGGAAGAGGAGAGUGGAAUUCCCAGUGUAGAGGUGAAAUUCGU
RNAcentral lists this ribosomal RNA (275 nucleotides) under uncultured bacterium. RNAcentral describes it as "partial 16S ribosomal RNA". It matches the Rfam family "Bacterial small subunit ribosomal RNA", at positions 399 to 691 of the family's 1533-position model. The record is from RNAcentral.